RNAcentral lists this ribosomal RNA (1043 nucleotides) under uncultured organism. Its description in RNAcentral is "bacterial SSU rRNA". It matches the Rfam family "Bacterial small subunit ribosomal RNA", at positions 223 to 1246 of the family's 1533-position model. The record is from RNAcentral.
GGAUCGGCCCGCGUUAGAUUAGAUAGUUGGUGGGGUAAUGGCUUACCAAGUCUACGAUCUAUAGCUGGUCUGAGAGGAUGAUCAGCCACACUGGGACUGAGACACGGGCCCANGACUCNCUACGGCGAGGCAGCAGUGGGGAAUCUUGCACAAUGGGCGAAAGCCUGAUGCAGCCAUUGCCCGCGNUUGAACUGAAAUGAAGGCCUUAGGGNUUUGUUAAANCACAUUCCUUUNUUCCCCAAUNNCAGGGGGACGAAUAAUGACGUGUACCUUGAACGCAAAGAACAGCCCCGUGCUAACUUCGUGCCAGCAGCCGCGGUAAUACGAAGGGGGCUAGCGUUGUUCGGAAUUAAUCGGGCUUAAAGCGCACGUAGCGGACUUUUAAGUCUGGGGUGAAAGCCCGGAGCUCAACUCCGGAACUGCCUUGGAUACUGGGAGUCUUGAGGAUGGAAGAGGUAAGUGGAAUACCGAGUGUAGAGGUGAAAUUCGUAGAUAUUCGGUGGAACACCAGUGGCGAAGGCGACUUACUGGUCCAUUUCUGACGCUGAGGUGCGAAAGUGUGGGGAGCAAACAGGAUUAGAUACCCUGGUAGUCCACACCGUAAACGAUGAGAGCUAGUUGUUGGCAGGUUUACCUGUCGGUGACGCAGCUAACGCAUUAAGCUCUCCGCCUGGGGAGUACGGCCGCAAGGUUAAAACUCAAAGAAAUUGACGGGGGCCCGCACAAGCGGUGGAGCAUGUGGUUUAAUUCGAAGCAACGCGCAGAACCUUACCCACGUUUGACAUGCCUGGAUGUGAUCAGAGAUGUGAUCGUUCCUUCGGGACCAGUGCACAGGUGCUGCAUGGCUGUCGUCAGCUCGUGUCGUGAGAUGUUGGGUUAAGUCCCGCAACGAGCGCAACCCUCACCCUUAGUUGCUAACAGGUUUGGCUGAGAACUCUAAGGGAACUGCCCGUGGCAAGCGGGAGGAAGGUGGGGAUGACGUCAAGUCCUCAUGGCCCUUACGCGUGGGGCUACACACGUGCUACAAUGGCAGUGACAAUGGG